Molecule: ribosomal RNA, 438 nt
Filed under: uncultured bacterium
Lineage: Bacteria
Description: bacterial SSU rRNA
Rfam family: Bacterial small subunit ribosomal RNA
Source: RNAcentral
GAUGAACGCUGGCGGCGUGCUUAGCACAUGCAAGUCGAGCGAAGCGGUUUCGAUGAAGUUUUCGGACGGAUUUGAAAUUGACUUAGCGGCGGACGGGUGAGUAACGCGUGGGUAACCUGCCUUACACUGGGGGAUAACAGUUAGAAAUGACUGCUAAUACCGCAUAAGCGCACAGGGCCGCAUGGCCUGGUGUGAAAAACUCCGGUGGUGUAAGAUGGACCCGCGUCUGAUUAGGUAGUUGGCGGGGUAACGGCCCACCAAGCCGACGAUCAGUAGCCGACCUGAGAGGGUGACCGGGCCACAUUGGGACUGAGACACGGCCCAAACCCCUACGGGAGGCAGCAGUGGGGAAUAUUGGGACAAUGGGCAAAGCCUGAUCCAGCGACGCCGCGUGAGUGAAGAAGUAUUUCGGGUAUGUAAAGCUCUAUCAGCAGGGAA